RNAcentral lists this transfer RNA (93 nucleotides) under Candidatus Dormiibacterota bacterium. Its description in RNAcentral is "tRNA-Ser". It matches the Rfam family "tRNA". Rfam says of the family: Transfer RNA (tRNA) molecules are approximately 80 nucleotides in length. Their secondary structure includes four short double-helical elements and three loops (D, anti-codon, and T loops). The record is from RNAcentral. Lineage: Bacteria; Bacillati; Candidatus Dormiibacterota.
GGACGGGUGGCUGAGCGGCUGAAAGCGCCCGCCUGCUAAGCGGGUAGGGGGUGUAAAGCUCCCUCCCGGGUUCGAAUCCCGGCCCGUCCGCCA